Odocoileus virginianus texanus is the source of this 565-nucleotide long non-coding RNA. RefSeq lists it as uncharacterized. The record is from RefSeq and is a predicted model, not a curated record. NCBI's taxonomy places the organism in Eukaryota, Metazoa, Chordata, Mammalia, Artiodactyla, Cervidae.
CACCUCCUACCCCACCCUCCUUUCUGGUGACAGGGAGAGUAUAAAUUUUAGCUGGGCUCUGUCCCUGCACCACACCAGAGGCCAACAUGAAGACAGUCACCGUCUUUGUUCUGCUGGCUUUUGUCAUCAUGGGGCUGGAGGUGGCCUGGGCUCAGAAGUCUCCUGGCAAAGGACGACAGAGACCUGGAUUCUGCCCAGAGUUGCCCAAAGGUACUAUCGGAACUUGUGUCGAAUUGUGCUCAGGAGAUGAUUCCUGUCCCAGGGGAAUGAAAUGCUGCAGUCAUGGGUGUGGUCAUUCCUGCACAACUCCUGUCUUCAGAAAGGGUGGCUCUGGUGGCCACGGGAAAGUUGGGCAGAAGGUUAACUGAGCAUGCCUGGAGACCAGCCCCAGAAGAUUUCUCAUGAAUCCAUGGAUUCGGUGCUUGGCAUAACUACAAGACUUUCACAUCCAUUCCCGACUCUUUUCUAUGCCUGGAAUUGUAGCCCUGGAAGAUGAAGAUCUCAAAUGGUGGGAUGACUGCUUUCUAAAGAGCCUGUGUGGAAAAUAAACUAAAUCUGGAGCAUA